GUAGGAACGUGCACCAAUCUAACUUUCCAGAUAAUGACUGAAAAUUUAAUUUUUAAAUUUAAUGAAGACUAGUCAUACCAGAAACUCCAAUCAACAUCAGCGGCCAGAAACUUAUUAAGAAGAUGAGGUAAUGUCCAAUAUUUACCACAGCCUAAAAUGAUUGCAUUCACCAUCCAAAGAAUGAACAAAUGGAAAGUAAUUUGCGGCUUUCUGUUGUAAGACAACUUAAAAUGAGAAUGGACUUUGAUAAGAUAAUAAAUCACCUAAAGCAAAAUAUAGAACAUGAAAAUCAGACACUUCAUUAUUGUGGCGGGGGAGGCAAGUCAGAGGAGUCACCAUCGGUUGAAGAUGGCGAAGAUGAACCAAUAUCUUGAUUAGGGUAGGCUCCUGGUGGUCUCUCCUGAGGUUUAAUUGAUAGCAACUGGGU
RNAcentral lists this unclassified non-coding RNA (427 nucleotides) under Hevea brasiliensis (rubber tree). Lineage: Eukaryota; Viridiplantae; Streptophyta; Magnoliopsida; Malpighiales; Euphorbiaceae. The record is from RNAcentral.